UUUUAUCAAUUCAACCACAAUAAACGUAUGUUCUUCUGUCUUCGAUGUAAAAAGAUACAAUCUAGCAUUGGACAGAUUUGGCAAUGUGGUAUAUGUUCCACAGCUUGUAAAAUACGACUCCUACCAAGAAUUUGCGGAAGGUCUGUGCACAGGCACAGAAUGCGUGUCAUCAGCGUCAUGCAAAUGUAAGACCGCACUGUCUGAUUUGGGCAGAAGUAUAGUCACCUAUAUUAGGAGAGGAGAUCCAAAGUUUUACACAACUUGGAUACUUUUGAAUUCCUGUACCGCUUACAUAGACGCCUGAGUAAGAGCGGUAUAAUUGAGAAAAACGCUUACAAUGUUAAAUAAAGUUUUGGAAAAUUCGAUCGUAGGUUAUUAUAGUAAUAUGGUCGUAAAGUCAUUGAGAAUAUAAACAAUAUUAACAAAAAAUCUUACUUCACUGUAUUGUACUGCUACUGUACAGAUAUUUCUAGUGGUAUUUGACGUUAAAGUCGUACUUGUUUUUUUUUCUGCUUGUUCUGUUUACUGUAUAUAUAAGAAAAACAUAGAUUUUGAAUGAUAAUAGUGUUAACCCCAACUUCAGAUUGAAUAAACGUUUCUAGAAAAAAAAAA
Anneissia japonica is the source of this 612-nucleotide long non-coding RNA. RefSeq lists it as uncharacterized. The record is from RefSeq and is a predicted model, not a curated record. NCBI's taxonomy places the organism in Eukaryota, Metazoa, Echinodermata, Crinoidea, Comatulida, Comatulidae. The transcript is spliced from 2 exons.